GCGAGUCCAACGGGAAAGCCCCUUCGGGGGUCUCUGGAAUGGCGCACUGGUGAGUAGCGACUGGGCGUGUGGCCCUCGCGUGGGGGACAACUCCCCGAAAGGUGCGCUUCCGCGAUUACAAACGAUUCUUCUGCGGGUGCUCUGAUUGCCGGGCUCCUGGCGUCUGCUGAGGAGGAGCCUGCGGACCAUCCGCUUGUUGGUGGGGUAACCGCCUACCAAGGCAAAGACGGUUAGCUGGUCUGAUAGGAUGAUCAGCCACACUGGAACUGAAACACUCCCCAGACUCCUACGGGAGGCACCAGUGGGGAAUAUUGGACAAUGGGCCAAAGCCUGAUCCAGCCACACCGCGUGAUUGAUGAAGGCCUUCGGGUUGUAAAGCUCUGUGGGGAGGGACGAAAAAGGUCGCCAGGAAAUGGGCGGCCCUUGACCGUACCUCCUUACCAAGCACCGGCUAACUCUGUGCCACCAGCCGCGGUAAGACAGAUGGUGCGAACGUUGCUCGAAUUCACUGGGCGUAAAACCCCUGGAGGCGGCCCGGAAAGUUUCGUGUGAAAUCCCUGGGUUCAACCUAGCACCUGCAUCUGAAACUUCUUGUCUAGUGUGUCGGAGAGGAAAGCUCAAUUCCUGCUGUAGAGGUGAACUUCGUAUAUAUCAGGAGGAACACCUAUGGCGAAGGCGGCUUCCUGGACGAGUACUUACGCUGAGACGCUAAAGUGUGAGGAGCAAACAGGAUUAGAUACCCUGGUAGUCCACACCAUUACACCAUGAGUGAUCGAUGUCUCGGGUAUUGACCCCUGAGGUGUAGUAGCUACCGUGUGAAGCACUCCUCCCGGGAUAUGCGGCCGCAAGGCUAAAACUCAAAGGAAUUGACGGGGGCCCGCACAAGCGGUGGAGCAUGUGGUAUAAUUCGACGCAACGCGCUGAUCCAUAGCCGGGCUAGAAAAAUAGGGAAUGCGCUACAAAUACAGGAGUGGCCGUAAGGGAACCCUAGUCCAGGUGGGGCAUGGCUGUCCUCAGCCAGAGUUUUGAGAUGUUGGGGUAAGUCCCGCAACGAGCGCAACCCCUGUCAUUAGUUCCAUCAGUUCGGCUGGGCACUUUAAUGAGAUGCCGGCGUCAAGCCGGAGGAAGGUGGUGAUGACGUCAAGUCCUCUUGUCCCUUAUGUCCGGGGCUUCACACGUGCUACAAUGGUCGGUACAAAGCGCAGGGAAACGGGAGGGUAAGCCAAUCGCAAAAAGCCGACCUCAGUAGAGAUCACAUUUUGCAACUAGACUGCACGAAGCAGGAAUCGCUGGUAAUCUUUGAUCAGCAGGCAACGGUGAAUACGUUCCCGGGCUUUGUACACACCGCCCGUCACCCCAUGGGAGUCGACUGCUCCAGAAGCGGCUGUGCCAACCCGCAAG
This 1401-nucleotide ribosomal RNA is filed under the name uncultured organism. RNAcentral describes it as "partial 16S ribosomal RNA". It matches the Rfam family "Bacterial small subunit ribosomal RNA". The record is from RNAcentral.